This 164-nucleotide ribosomal RNA is filed under the name Pouteria macrophylla. RNAcentral's name for it is "5.8S ribosomal RNA". It matches the Rfam family "5.8S ribosomal RNA". Rfam says of the family: 5.8S ribosomal RNA (5.8S rRNA) is a component of the large subunit of the eukaryotic ribosome. It is transcribed by RNA polymerase I as part of the 45S precursor that also contains 18S and 28S rRNA. Functionally, it is thought that 5.8S rRNA may be involved in ribosome translocation. The record is from RNAcentral. Lineage: Eukaryota; Viridiplantae; Streptophyta; Magnoliopsida; Ericales; Sapotaceae.
UAACGACUCUCGACAACGGAUAUCUCGGCUUUCGCAUCGAUGAAGAACGUAGCGAAAUGCGAUACUUGGUGUGAAUUGCAGAAUCCCGUGAACCAUCGAGUCUUUGAACGCAAGUUGCGCCCGAAGCCAUUAGGCCGAGGGCACGUCUGCCUGGGCAUCUCACA